This 70-nucleotide transfer RNA is filed under the name Globisporangium ultimum DAOM BR144. RNAcentral describes it as "Pythium ultimum DAOM BR144 tRNA". It matches the Rfam family "tRNA". Rfam says of the family: Transfer RNA (tRNA) molecules are approximately 80 nucleotides in length. Their secondary structure includes four short double-helical elements and three loops (D, anti-codon, and T loops). Further hydrogen bonds mediate the characteristic L-shaped molecular structure. tRNAs have two regions of fundamental functional importance: the anti-codon, which is responsible for specific mRNA codon recognition, and the 3' end, to which the tRNAs corresponding amino acid is attached (by aminoacyl-tRNA synthetases). tRNAs cope with the degeneracy of the genetic code in two manners: having more than one tRNA (with a specific anti-codon) for a particular amino acid; and 'wobble' base-pairing, i.e. permitting non-standard base-pairing at the 3rd anti-codon position. Lineage: Eukaryota; Oomycota; Peronosporomycetes; Pythiales; Pythiaceae. The record is from Rfam by way of RNAcentral.
GCGGGUAGCUCAGUGGUAGAGCGUUCGAUUGCAGCUCGAAGGGUCACUGGUUCGAAUCCGGUCUCGCGCU